Molecule: ribosomal RNA, 253 nt
Filed under: uncultured bacterium
Lineage: Bacteria
Description: partial 16S ribosomal RNA
Rfam family: Bacterial small subunit ribosomal RNA
Source: RNAcentral
UACGUAGGUGACCAGCGUUGUCCGGAUUUACUGGGCGUAAAGAGCGCGCAGGCGGUCGUUCAAGUCGAGUGUGAAAGCCCCCGGCUCAACUGGGGAGGGUCAUUCGAUACUGAUCGACUUGAAGGCAGGAGAGGGAAGUGGAAUUCCCGGUGUAGUGGUGAAAUGCGUAGAGAUAUGGAAGAACACCAGUGGCGAAGGCGCUCUGCUGGGCCAAAACUGACACUGAGAGACGAAAGCCAGGGGAGCAAAUAGG